UACGAAGGGGGCGAGCGUUGUUCGGAUUUACUGGGCGUAAAGGGCGCGCAGGCGGCUUAUUUUGUCAGGCGUGAAAGCCCCGGGCUUAACUUGGGAACUGCGUUUGAUACGGAUGGGCUAGAGUUCGGGAGAGGAGAGUGGAAUUCCCAGUGUAGAGGUGAAAUUCGUAGAUAUUGGGAAGAACACCGGUGGCGAAGGCGGCGAGCUGGUCCGUAUCUGACGCUGAGGCGCGACAGCGUGGGGAGCAAACAGG
RNAcentral lists this ribosomal RNA (253 nucleotides) under uncultured bacterium. Its description in RNAcentral is "partial 16S ribosomal RNA". It matches the Rfam family "Bacterial small subunit ribosomal RNA", at positions 524 to 776 of the family's 1533-position model. The record is from RNAcentral.